AUGCGGCUGGUCGGCCUGACGGGCGGGAUCGCCUCGGGGAAGAGCACCGUCUCCGGCCUCUUCAAGUCCGCCGGCGUCCCGGUGGUCGACGCCGACGUCGUGGCUCGGAAUGUAGUGCAGAAAGGUACUGGAGGUUGGAAGAAGAUUGUGAAAGCUUUUGGGAAUGGCAUUCUGUUGGAAAAUGGAGAAAUUGACAGAGCUCAAUUGGGUCAGGUUGUUUUCACUGACCCAGAAAAACGCAAGCUUCUAAACCGUCUUCUGGCCCCACACAUUUCAUGCGGUAUAUUCUGGGAGAUACUAAAACUCUGGGUGAAGGGAUGCCUGGUUAUUGUCGUCGACAUCCCGCUCCUGUUUGAGACAAAGAUGGACCGAUGGACGGACCCCGUGGUUGUCGUAUGGGUGGAUCCCAAAACACAGAUCGAGAGGCUCAUGUCAAGAGACAGUUGCGGCCAGGAACAGGCUCAGGGCAGGAUCGACGCCCAGCUUGCGUUGGACUGGAAGAAGUCGGAAGCCGACAUAGUGAUCGACAACUCCGGCUCGCUGGACGACACGAAAGAGCAGUUCCAGGAAGUGCUGAAGCAGGUGUCUGGUCCCUUGACAUGGAAGGAGCGCAUGAUGUCCAGGGAUGGCCUUCUCUCUAUCGUCGUGUGCACGGCGGCGGGGGUUCUACUUGCUCAGAAGAAUCUGCUGUGA
RNAcentral lists this ribosomal RNA (693 nucleotides) under Triticum aestivum (bread wheat). RNAcentral describes it as "partial small subunit ribosomal RNA". Lineage: Eukaryota; Viridiplantae; Streptophyta; Magnoliopsida; Poales; Poaceae. The record is from RNAcentral.